UUUAUACAACUUCCUAACAUGAAUCGACCUGAUGGAUCCGAUACACUUGGGACGCCUUCUUUGGGGUGUCAACUGCUCGAGUUAAUGGGUCCUUUAAGCCGGUCGGCCAAAUGUUCGUAGGGCUUAUGGGGCCGCCCGGACCAUUCAAACAGUUUAACGUCCUUGGAAUGACCUGGGCUUUCCACUGUUCGUCUUACUGGGCCUGGGCUUCUUCGUGGGCCUGGGCUGGUAACUUGGGGGUACCAUCA
This 248-nucleotide long non-coding RNA is filed under the name Zostera marina. RNAcentral describes it as "long non-coding RNA (ZMAR_LNC003391)". Lineage: Eukaryota; Viridiplantae; Streptophyta; Magnoliopsida; Alismatales; Zosteraceae. The record is from RNAcentral.